Molecule: ribosomal RNA, 492 nt
Filed under: uncultured bacterium
Lineage: Bacteria
Description: partial 16S ribosomal RNA
Rfam family: Bacterial small subunit ribosomal RNA
Source: RNAcentral
AGUGAACGCUGGCGGUAGGCCUAACACAUGCAAGUCGAACGGCAGCACAGUAAGAGCUUGCUCUUACGGGUGGCGAGUGGCGGACGGGUGAGGAAUACAUCGGAAUCUACUUUUUCGUGGGGGAUAACGUAGGGAAACUUACGCUAUUACCGCAUACGACCUACGGGUGAAAGCAGGGGAUCUUCGGACCUUGCGCGAUCGAAUGAGCCGAUGUCGGAUUAGCUAGUUGGCGGGGUAAAGGCCCACCAAGGCGACGAUCCGUAGCUGGUCUGAGAGGAUGAUCAGCCACACUGGAACUGAGACACGGUCCAGACUCCUACGGGAGGCAGCAGUGGGGAAUAUUGGACAAUGGGCGCAAGCCUGAUCCAGCCAUACCGCGUGGGUGAAGAAGGCCUUCGGGUUGUAAAGCCCUUUUGUUUGGAAAGAAAAGCAGCAGGUUAAUACCCCGCGGUUCUGACGGUACCCAAAGAAUAAGCACCGGCUAACUUCGUG